Molecule: ribosomal RNA, 492 nt
Filed under: uncultured bacterium
Lineage: Bacteria
Description: partial 16S ribosomal RNA
Rfam family: Bacterial small subunit ribosomal RNA
Source: RNAcentral
AGUGAACGCUGGCGGUAGGCCUAACACAUGCAAGUCGAACGGCAGCACAGUAAGAGCUUGCUCUUCCGGGUGGCGAGUGGCGGACGGGUGAGGUAUACAUCGUACUCUACUUUUUUGUGGGGGAUAACGUAGGGAAACUUACGCUAAUACCGCAUACGACCUACGGGUGAAAGCAGGGGAUCUUCGGACCUUGCGCGAUUGAAUGAGCCGAUGUCGGAUUAGCUAGUUGGCGGGGUAAAGGCCCACCAAGGCGACGAUCCGUAGCUGGUCUGAGAGGAUGAUCGGCCACACUGGAACUGAGACACGGUCCAGAGUCCUACGGGAGGCCGCAGUGGGGAAUAUUGGACAAUGGGGGCAAGCCUGAUCCAGCCAUACCGCGUGGGUGAAGAAGGCCUUCGGGUUGUAAAGCCCUUUUGUUGGGAAAGAAAAGCAGCAGGUUAAUACCCAGCUGUUCUGACGGUACCCAAAGAAUAAGCACCGGCUAACUUCGUG